AGAAGAAAUGGUACUACUUGAAGAUAAACAGCACUUUCAUGGCUAAUGGCCCUUCUGAGUUAUUUUCAUGUAUUUUUUUUCCCUAGGGACUGUACAGUAUGUAACUGAAUAAUAUGCAAGAUGAGAUAGAGGUAGAUGGACUUCUUAGAUUGUCUAGCUUCAACAGUUCAUUUUGAGUGAAGAGUCAUCUAAUGAACCUCCUAUAUUUGAUCACAAUGUCAAAAGCCCUACACGGAUCCCUACUAAACCUGCAGUUACUGGGAAGAGGAAUGAACAGAAGAGGAAUUACUUCUGAAGUGGAAUUGGGAACUUAGGCAUGAGCGAUAUCUUGACCCAACAGAAGUCUCUCAGUAGCUUCUAUUCCAGUUUUAUCUGCAUACGAUAUUUUGAAAGACACUGCACGUGGACUUGGAAUUUUUUUAAACAUUCGUAUUGCAAAGGUGACUGUGGUUUGGAUUCUGUGGAGAAGGUUUCUGCUAUGACUCAGCCCCCAAAAGUGCUCCUCUUCUCUGCCAGACACCACUAAGGUAAAUGAAAAUGUUUUUUAGUGCAGGAUAGUCUUUUAUAUUAUUUGGUGUUAAUUUUGGUACCUGGAGCAAAAAUCCCUAU
RNAcentral lists this long non-coding RNA (609 nucleotides) under Anser brachyrhynchus (Pink-footed goose). RNAcentral describes it as "lncRNA (ENSABRG00000008011.1)". The record is from RNAcentral. Lineage: Eukaryota; Metazoa; Chordata; Aves; Anseriformes; Anatidae.